UACGAAGGGGGCUAGCGUUGUUCGGAAUUACUGGGCGUAAAGCGCGCGCAGGCGGUCUUUCAAGUCAGUGGUGAAAGCCCGGAGCUCAACUCCGGAAAUGCCAUUGAAACUGUAAGACUUGAGGAUGAGAGAGGUGAGUGGAAUUCCCAGUGUAGAGGUGAAAUUCGUAGAUAUUGGGAAGAACACCGGUGGCGAAGGCGGCUCACUGGCUCGUAACUGACGCUCAUGCACGACAGCGUGGGGAUCAAACAGG
This 253-nucleotide ribosomal RNA is filed under the name uncultured bacterium. RNAcentral describes it as "partial 16S ribosomal RNA". It matches the Rfam family "Bacterial small subunit ribosomal RNA", at positions 524 to 776 of the family's 1533-position model. The record is from RNAcentral.